AUUGAACGCUGGCGGAAUGCUUUACACAUGCAAGUCGAACGGCAGCACGGACUUCGGUCUGGUGGCGAGUGGCGAACGGGUGAGUAAUGUAUCGGAACGUGCCCAGUCGUGGGGGAUAACGUAGUGAAAAUUACGCUAAUACCGCAUACGAUCUAUGGAUGAAAGCGGGGGAUCGCAAGACCUCGCGCGAUUGGACCGGCCGAUAUCAGAUUAGGUAGUUGGUGGGGGAAAGGCCCACCAAGGCAACGAUCUGUAGCUGGUCUGAGAGGACGACCAGGCAAACUGGAACUGCGACACGGUCCAGACUCCUACGGGGGGCAGCAGUGGGGAAUUUUGGACAAUGGGCGAAAGCCUGAUCCAGCCAUUCCGCGUGCAGGAUGAAGGCCCUCGGGUUGUAAACUGCUUUUGUACAGAACGAAAAGGUUUCUACUAAUACUAGGAGCUCAUGACGGUACUGUAAGAAUAAGCACCGGCUAACUACGUGCCAGCCGCCGCGGUAA
Molecule: ribosomal RNA, 500 nt
Filed under: uncultured bacterium
Lineage: Bacteria
Description: partial 16S ribosomal RNA
Rfam family: Bacterial small subunit ribosomal RNA
Source: RNAcentral